ACACCCUGGCAAUGGGCAAAGAAACACUUCAUUGGUGGUGUUGUCCUUAUAUCAGUCAGGGCCAGAGCAGAUGGCAGCCCUUUGUUCAUCCUAGUUUGUUGUCUGGCUAAGUGGCCAAAGCUAUCUUAUACCUGGGACUCAUAA
This is a small nucleolar RNA of Mus pahari (shrew mouse), 144 nucleotides long. RefSeq annotates it as small nucleolar RNA SNORA48. NCBI's taxonomy places the organism in Eukaryota, Metazoa, Chordata, Mammalia, Rodentia, Muridae. The record is from RefSeq and is a predicted model, not a curated record. The transcript has a single exon.